UUGAGAGGUAGAGGUGUCUGCAUUUGUCUCAUCCUGGUGCAGAUGUAACUGUUAAAGUGAGAAGAGGGACACCAGAAGGUAGAGGUGUAUGAAAAGGGAAAGGUUAGGGCUGCCAGGAUCACAGUUCAUCCUAAGAUCAUCGCGGUUGGGCAAAAGUGUAUACACAUACAGUUUGUCCUGCAUGCAGUAGAGCAUACCCCCAGAGGCCAGAGGGAGCCUGGAAGGAGAGUCACAAAUUCUUACAGUAUAAAAGCGUCUGGAGUUUACAAAAUGGUGAAGGAUUAAGAAGUGCCAUGAAUGGGAAAUCCAAGGAGAGGAGACCUUGGAUACCACUGGCCACCAGCAGCCUCCACCACAUUGAUAAAGGAUAACAAAGCACCUUUCUAAUCCUCCAUGACAAAUAUGGAAUCUGUAAAUGUGUUUUAUCAUGU
Molecule: long non-coding RNA, 431 nt
Organism: Prionailurus viverrinus (fishing cat)
Lineage: Eukaryota; Metazoa; Chordata; Mammalia; Carnivora; Felidae
Exons: 3
Source: RefSeq, a predicted model, not a curated record